CCUACGGGAGGCAGCAGUGAGGAAUAUUGGUCAAUGGGCGAGAGCCUGAACCAGCCAAGUCGCGUGAGGGAGUACUGCCCUAUGGGUUGUAAACCUCUUUUGUCGGGGAGCAAAAGCCGGACGUGUCCGGCUGUGAGAGUACCCGAAGAAAAAGCAUCGGCUAACUCCGUGCCAGCAGCCGCGGUAAUGCGGAGGAUGCGAGCGUUAUCCGGAUUUAUUGGGGUUAAAGGGUGCGCAGGCGGAUUUUUAAGUCAGCGGUCAAAUCGUGGGGCUCAACCCCAUCCAGCCGUUGAAACUGGGGAUCUAGAGUGUGCGAGAGGUAUGCGGAAUGCGUGGUGUAGCGGUGAAAUGCAUAGAUAUCACGCAGAACCCCGAUUGCGAAGGCAGCAUACCGGUGCACAACUGACGCUCAGGCACGAAAGCGUGGGUAUCGAACAGGAUUAGAUACCCUAGUAGUC
Molecule: ribosomal RNA, 458 nt
Filed under: uncultured bacterium
Lineage: Bacteria
Description: partial 16S ribosomal RNA
Rfam family: Bacterial small subunit ribosomal RNA
Source: RNAcentral